This 301-nucleotide ribosomal RNA is filed under the name uncultured bacterium. RNAcentral describes it as "partial 16S ribosomal RNA". It matches the Rfam family "Bacterial small subunit ribosomal RNA", at positions 509 to 808 of the family's 1533-position model. The record is from RNAcentral.
CAGUAGCCGCGGGAAUACGUAGGGUGCAAGCGUUAAUCGGAAAUACUGGGCGUAAAGCGUGCGCAGGCGGCUAUGCAAGACAGAUGUGAAAUCCCCGGGCUCAACCUGGGAACUGCAUUUGUGACUGCAUGGCUAGAGUACGGUAGAGGGGGAUGGAAUUCCGCGUGUAGCAGUGAAAUGCGUAGAUAUGCGGAGGAACACCGAUGGCGAAGGCAAUCCCCUGGACCUGUACUGACGCUCAUGCACGAAAGCGUGGGGAGCAAACAGGAUUAGAUACCCCCAGUAGUCCCUGUCUCUUAUA